RNAcentral lists this ribosomal RNA (493 nucleotides) under Niquirana phyxelis. Its description in RNAcentral is "partial 16S ribosomal RNA". It matches the Rfam family "Bacterial large subunit ribosomal RNA", at positions 1833 to 2582 of the family's 2925-position model. The record is from RNAcentral. Lineage: Eukaryota; Metazoa; Arthropoda; Insecta; Orthoptera; Phalangopsidae.
CUCCUUGAAUUUAUUAGGAGUCGUGCCUGCCCACUGAAUGAAUUAUUGAAGGGCCGCGGUAUUUUGACCGUGCAAAGGUAGCAUAAUCAUUAGUCUUUUAAUUGGGGGCUGGAAUGAAUGGUUUGACGAAAUAAUAACUGUCUUUUUUAUAAAAUUUUGAAGUUUACUUUUGAGUUAAAAGGCUUAAAUAGUAAUAGGGGACGAGAAGACCCUAUAGAUCUUUAUUUAUUAAUAUUGGAUUUAUUUUUGGUUGUUUUAUUGAUUAUUUUUUUAAUAAAUUUUAUUGGGGUGAUAUAAGAAUAUAAUUAACUUCUUGUAAAUUUAAACUUAAAUUUUUGGUUAGGGUGAUCCUUUAAUAUGGAUUUAAGAUUAAGAUACCUUAGGGAUAACAGCGUAAUUUUGUUUGAGAGUUCUUAUCGACAAUGAAGAUUGCGACCUCGAUGUUGGAUUAAGAUUAUAAUUUGGUGUAGAAGCUAAAUAUAUUGGUUUGUUC